GAUUACAGGCAUGAGCCACCACGCCUGGCCAAGGCGGCACUCUUGUAAAUAAAAAUAGACAGGGUACCCAGUGUUGCCUGGCUAUCUACAUGCCCAGGUUCUAUAAAAGUUUUAGCUCUGAGUGCAUUUUGGCUUGGUAAUAGGAGUUUGUUUCCAGGUCAUUAUUUAUGACUCCAGUUUUAAUAUGCAUAUCAAAUAAAAACUUGGGCAAUUGUCAUGAAAGGAACAUGCAGGAUAUUUUAAUGAACACUUCUGCAUUUAAGGAGGUCUGGGAGAAGGGUGGUGAGAAUGGUAAUGAGUCAUACAUCUAUGUUGCGCCACUACCCUUAGCCAUUGCUUUUCGGAGACCCUAGGCCUAAUUAAAUAAUAGCUAGACUCCAUCAUAUGACAAAUGAUUGACUAGCUAUGAGCAUGGGGCAUCCUCAUUUCUCAGCCCAGUCUCAUGUUCAUCAUGUGCUAUUAGUCAUAAGUCUCUAGCAUUUAUAGAAAAUAAACACAGUUGCUCAGUUCCCACCCCCAAAUGAGGAAAUUAGUAUGGAAUGGAGCCCUGGAAUCUGCAUUUUGUAAGGCUUCUUUGGUGAUCCUGAUGCACAUCCAUGGUGGAGAGCUCUGAAGGGGUUGUGAGAAGAGAGACGGGAAAGCGAAGGAAGCUACAGAAACCCAGAGAGGCCCGCAGAGGUCUGAGGAGGGGCUGGGGGCACGGAGGCAGCAGUGCCUGGAAAACCAGUCCCGCCCCAAGUUCACAUGCAGGAACAGAGUGGGCGGCACAGCGGGCUGCACACAGGGCACGUCUUCGAUUCAGAGCUGGAGUGGAAGAAGCAGCCGCCGCAGCCCCGGUGGAAACUCCGUGACUCUUUUCUAGCAGCCAUCAUGGCUGCAAGGGCCGGGCUGUGACCAAAGGAGGGGUCUGAGGCAGGGAGGGUGGCAUGUGCCCUUACAGAGAAGGUCCCACAGAGCAGAGCCACCCAGAGGCACAGCCUCAAAGGACUGACCUGUUACAAGAUCCCAGAGCCCUAGGCUCCCCAGGAACACUGUCACUGGAGAGAUCCUCUCUGGGCCCAGACCCAACCAUCACCCAACUCCAAUCCUCUCCCUUGAGCCCAAGACCCUGGACCUUCCCUGGGCGGGACCACAGCAGAGCCAGCACUGACCCUCAGGUUUUGGCAAAAUGUCUAGUGAGGGAACAUCUUCAUUUAUGGUCCAACCAAUUCAGUACAAAGCCUCUGCCUUCUCGCUCUGUGAGGUAAGGGGAAGGGGUCAUGUUUUAGAGACAGUAAUCUCCCCCUUCUCUGGACAGCCAGACAUGUGGUGCCCGUUGCCACAGGGAAGGUGACAUAGCAGAAGCGAGCCUUGGCUUUGGAAUUUUAAAAGCUUGAUUCUGAAGGUGGGUGGCAAGAACUCAGGACACUUACAGUGCAUUUGGAAGAAUAUAUGAUGGGUUAAAGAAUAAAAGCCUCCUCUCUCCCCCACUGGUCAAGAUUCCAUAGGUUGGCAGGGCUUGGGGAGCAAGGCGAAUGUUGACAUUUCUGGAAUUCUUGAGAAAAGGACCCUGAGAAGGAGGUUGCGGCUAAAGAGGGGGAAAGUAUGACAAAUACUCCAUAUAGGUUUGGAGGUGAUAAGUGUAGGCAAGCACUGGGUAGAAGAACCCACACGCUUCCUGGGUAGAGCCUGGGAAAACAGCAAGCCACAGAGCGGAACAAGGGACUGGGCUGUCUAUCUUAGCAGUUGGCCUGGAACAGAAUUACUGAGCUUCCUGAAGCCAGAGGGUGUGCAGGGCCAGGAGCUAGAAUCUUCCACAUGCUCCAAGCCACAGGUCCCCAAAUAGGCUUUGUGGAAGUGAAGGAGCCCCUGGCAGACCUUGCAUGACCAACUGAUGACCAGAUGGGGAGGGGAUGUCCAGGCAGGUGCGAGCAUGGACGGAUGAUGAUAGCCGAGGAACAGAGUCUUACAUGACUUAAAGCCACACCCCCACCCGACCGAGCUUAACCCCAGGAAAAGGUCAGGGGGAGACUUUGAAUUGACUGAGAUUAAUUUCUACCACCUGCUGAAACGGGGUUCCUAAUAGAAAUUACAUUCUGUGUUAGAAAAAUAAAGUUAUGCUUCUUGCAGAUUAGAGUUUGUAGGCUGAGUUGUACCUACUAUAUAAGUAAUGAAUUAAUUUUUUCUUUAUGAUUUUGUAAAGAAAAGAGAAGAAAGAAAUUUCAGUAGAAUAGCGCUACAUUGCAAGAGAAACGGCACUUGUGAUUUUUAUCCAUUUUCCUUCUAGUCUUUGAAUUUAGAAAGCACAAGUCUCUUGCCACAAGUUCAGGUCAAAUGACUGCAGCAUUUUGAGUGAAACCAAUAAAAUCUAAGUUCAUGG
This 2359-nucleotide long non-coding RNA is filed under the name Homo sapiens (human). RNAcentral's name for it is "non-protein coding lnc-CYP27A1-2:1". The record is from RNAcentral. Lineage: Eukaryota; Metazoa; Chordata; Mammalia; Primates; Hominidae.